This 433-nucleotide ribosomal RNA is filed under the name uncultured bacterium. RNAcentral describes it as "partial 16S ribosomal RNA". It matches the Rfam family "Bacterial small subunit ribosomal RNA", at positions 29 to 507 of the family's 1533-position model. The record is from RNAcentral.
AACGAACGCUGGCGGCAUGCCUAACACAUGCAAGUCGAACGAGGCCUUCGGGUCUAGUGGCGCACGGGUGCGUAACGCGUGGGAACCUGCCCUUAGGUUCGGAUUAACUCCCCGAAAGGGGUGCUAAUACCGGAUAAUGUCUUCGGACCAAAGAUUUAUCGCCUUUGGAUGGGCCCGCGUUGGAUUAGCUAGUUGGUAGGGUAAAAGCCUACCAAGGCGACGAUCCAUAGCUGGUCUGAGAGGAUGAUCAGCCACACUGGGACUGAGACACGGCCCAGACUCCUACGGGAGGCAGCAGUGGGGAAUAUUGGACAAUGGGCGAAAGCCUGAUCCAGCAAUGCCGCGUGAGUGAUGAAGGCCUUAGGGUUGUAAAGCUCUUUUACCCGGGAUGAUAAUGACAGUACCGGGAGAAUAAGCUCCGGCUAACUCCGUG